GAUCUCAGUUAACAUAACGUCAAUCAGGUUCAAGCUAAGGGAGAUUGAUAUUUACUAGAUUAUAACGACAGAUAUGAAGAUCGCCUGGUAUGACUUAUUGAAUUGGUAGCAGUCCCUCUUCCUCGAUCUAAUCCUGCUUCACCUUGUCUUUGGAUGACCUAUAGUAGCUCGUACACAACCGACCUAUUUCAGCCAACGAGAGGACAAGCACCUGCUCCACGGACUCCAGUACCUCAGCCACGGACGAUCUAUCAUAGCUCAUUCAUUGUCAAGCUAAUUUCCAUAUUAGAUACGGCCC
RNAcentral lists this long non-coding RNA (298 nucleotides) under Elaeis guineensis (African oil palm). RNAcentral's name for it is "long non-coding RNA (EGUI_LNC040172)". Lineage: Eukaryota; Viridiplantae; Streptophyta; Magnoliopsida; Arecales; Arecaceae. The record is from RNAcentral.